Molecule: ribosomal RNA, 497 nt
Filed under: uncultured bacterium
Lineage: Bacteria
Description: partial 16S ribosomal RNA
Rfam family: Bacterial small subunit ribosomal RNA
Source: RNAcentral
GAUGAACGCUGGCGGCGUGCCUAAUACAUGCAAGUCGAGCGAACGGACGAGAAGCUUGCUUCUCUGCUGUUAGCGGCGGACGGGCGAGUAACACGUGGAUAACCUACCUAUAAGACUGGGAUAACUUCGGGAAACCGGAGCUACUACCGGAUAAUAUUUUCAACCGCUUGGUUCAAAAGUGCAUGACAGUUUUGCUGUCACUUAUAGCUGGAUCCGCGCUGCAUUAGCUAGUUGGUAAGGUAACGGCUUACCAAGGCAACGAUGCAUAGCCGACCUGAGAGGGUGAUCGGCCACACUGGAACUGAGACACGGUCCAGACUCCUACGGGAGGCAGCAGUAGGGAAUCUUCCGCAAUGGGCGAAAGCCUGACGGAGCAACGCCGCGUGGGUGAUGAAGGUCUUCGGAUCGUAAAACUCUGUUAUUAGGGAAGAACAUAUGUGUAAGUAACUGUGCACAUCUUGACGGUACCUAAUCAGAAAGCCACGGCUAACUACGUG